CGAACGCUGGCGGCGUGCUUAAGACAUGCAAGUCGAGCGAGAAAGCCACCUUCGGGUGGUGAGUAAAGCGGCGCACGGGUGAGUAACGCGUGGAUAAUCUACCUGUAGGUCUGGGAUAACUCCGGGAAACUGGAGCUAAUACCGGAUAAGACCACGGGGUCUUCGGGUCUUGCGGAAAAAGGUGGCCUCUUCUUGAAAGCUACCGCCUAUCGAUGAGUCCGCGUCCCAUUAGCUUGUUGGUGAGGUAAAGGCUCACCAAGGCUUCGAUGGGUAGCUGGUCUGAGAGGAUGAUCAGCCACACUGGAACUGAGACACGGUCCAGACUCCUGCGGGAGGCAGCAGUCGGGAAUUUUGGGCAAUGGGGGAAACCCUGACCCAGCAACGCCGCGUGAGGGAUGAAGGCCCUCGGGUCGUAAACCUCUGUCGGAAGGGAAGAAAGGUCUCCGUUCGAAUAGAGCGGGGGCUUGACGGUACCUUCAAAGGAAGCACCGGCUAACUCC
This 500-nucleotide ribosomal RNA is filed under the name uncultured bacterium. Its description in RNAcentral is "bacterial SSU rRNA". It matches the Rfam family "Bacterial small subunit ribosomal RNA", at positions 30 to 504 of the family's 1533-position model. The record is from RNAcentral.